AACCCCUGUGAACAUACCUUAUGUUGCCUCGGCGGAUCAGCCCGCGCCCCGUAAAAAGGGACGGCCCGCCGCAGGAACCCUAAACUCUGUUUUUAGUGGAACUUCUGAGUAUAAAAAACAAAUAAAUCAAAACUUUCAACAACGGAUCUCUUGGUUCUGGCAUCGAUGAAGAACGCAGCAAAAUGCGAUAAGUAAUGUGAAUUGCAGAAUUCAGUGAAUCAUCGAAUCUUUGAACGCACAUUGCGCCCGCCAGUAUUCUGGCGGGCAUGCCUGUUCGAGCGUCAUUUCAACCCUCAAGCCCAGCUUGGUGUUGGGAGCUGCAGUCCUGCUGCACUCCCCAAAUACAUUGGCGGUCACGUCGAGCUUCCAUAGCGUAGUAAUUUACAUAUCGUUACUGGUAAUCGUCGCGGCCACGCCGUUAAACCCCAACUUCUGAAUGUUGACCUCGGAUCAGGUAGGAAUACCCGCUGAACUUAAGCAUAUCAAUAAGCGGAGGA
RNAcentral lists this ribosomal RNA (497 nucleotides) under Fusarium sp. PVF10. RNAcentral describes it as "eukaryotic LSU rRNA". The stretch from base 131 to 284 matches the Rfam family "5.8S ribosomal RNA". The record is from RNAcentral. RNAcentral also lists the same sequence under 1 other name. Lineage: Eukaryota; Fungi; Ascomycota; Sordariomycetes; Hypocreales; Nectriaceae.